This 19-nucleotide transfer RNA is filed under the name Betta imbellis (crescent betta). RNAcentral describes it as "partial tRNA-Thr". Lineage: Eukaryota; Metazoa; Chordata; Actinopteri; Anabantiformes; Osphronemidae. The record is from RNAcentral.
GCUCUAGUAGCUCAGAACC